AUGGAAUGAACAAAGGCUGCUCU
RNAcentral lists this non-coding RNA (23 nucleotides) under Cricetulus griseus (Chinese hamster). The record is from RNAcentral. Lineage: Eukaryota; Metazoa; Chordata; Mammalia; Rodentia; Cricetidae.